This 744-nucleotide ribosomal RNA is filed under the name uncultured bacterium. RNAcentral describes it as "bacterial SSU rRNA". It matches the Rfam family "Bacterial small subunit ribosomal RNA", at positions 35 to 761 of the family's 1533-position model. The record is from RNAcentral.
GCUGGCGGCGUGCCUAAUACAUGCAAGUCGAGCGAACGGACGAGGAGCUUGCUUCUCUGAUGUUAGCGGCGGACGGGUGAGUAACACGUGGAUAACCUACCUAUAAGACUGGGAUAACUUCGGGAAACCGGAGCUAAUACCGGAUAAUAUUUUGAACCGCAUGGUUCAAAAGUGAAAGACGGUCUUGCUGUCACUUAUAGAUGGAUCCGCGCUGCAUUAGCUAGUCGGUAAGGUAACGGCUUACCAAGGCAACGAUGCAUAGCCGACCUGAGAGGGUGAUCGGCCACACUGGAACUGAGACACGGUCCAGACUCCUACGGGAGGCAGCAGUAGGGAAUCUUCCGCAAUGGGCGAAAGCCUGACGGAGCAACGCCGCGUGAGUGAUGAAGGUCUUCGGAUCGUAAAACUCUGUUAUUAGGGAAGAACAUAUGUGUAAGUAACUGUGCACAUCUUGACGGUACCUAAUCAGAAAGCCACGGCUAACUACGUGCCAGCAGCCGCGGUAAUACGUAGGUGGCAAGCGUUAUCCGGAAUUAUUGGGCGUAAAGCGCGCGUAGGCGGUUUUUUAAGUCUGAUGUGAAAGCCCACGGCUCAACCGUGGAGGGUCAUUGGAAACUGGAAAACUUGAGUGCAGAAGAGGAAAGUGGAAUUCCAUGUGUAGCGGUGAAAUGCGCAGAGAUAUGGAGGAACACCAGUGGCGAAGGCGACUUUCUGGUCUGUAACUGACGCUGAUGUGCGAAAGCG